Molecule: long non-coding RNA, 4574 nt
Filed under: Fragaria vesca (wild strawberry)
Lineage: Eukaryota; Viridiplantae; Streptophyta; Magnoliopsida; Rosales; Rosaceae
Description: long non-coding RNA (FVES_LNC003605)
Source: RNAcentral
ACUGGGGUGGAGCGGCGGCCGGUGGCUGGCCGGACGGCGGCAGCUGGCGGCUGGACAGUCCGGCGGGAGAGAGCACGGGAGAGAGAAGAAGAGAAAGAGAGAAGAAGAGAAAGGGAAGGAAAAAAAAUGGGUUGGGCCUCCCAACCGGUCCAACCUUAUAUCAACCCAAUUCCAAAAAUGAAACACUUCGAAAAAUAAUACCCGAAUAAAAAUUACCUUUUACUAGUUAAAAUUUACUAUUUUUACCGUCGUCGUAUUUUCCUCAUACGAAUAAUCCUCCGCACAUAAUCGUCCCCGAAACCCCUCUAAUGACCAAUUAACUAUUAACUCAAUGAUGGAGACGGUAAAAUUCUUAUUAUAAUCAGGCUAGUAAAUAAGAUAAAAAUAUAAGGGUCGGGAUGUGACAAUUCUCCCCUCCUUAUAAAAAUUUCGUCCUCGAAAUUUACGUACCUGUCAUCCGAAGAGAUAGGGAUACUGCUGCAUCAUUUGCUCCUCUGAUUCCCAAGUAGCUUCUUCUACUUGACGACUCCUCCAAAGCACCUUGACAAGCGGGAUUGUCUUGUUCCUAAGCACUUGCUCAUUUCGGUCGAGAAUCUGAACCGGUUCCUCUUCAUAGGACAAGUCUCUCGUCAAACUAAUCGGCUACUCUUGCAGCACAUGAGAAGGAUCGGCAAUAUACUUGCGAAGCAUGGAUACAUGAAAGACAUUAUGUAUCCUAGCUAACUUUGGAGGCAAGGCUAAUCGAUAAGCAAGUGAGCCAACUCGCUCUAUUAUCUCAUACGGGCCAAUAUACCUCGGGCUAAGCUUCCCACGCUUCCCGAAGCGCACAACCCCUUUCCAAGGAGAUAAUUUCAGGAACACCCAAUCACCCACUUGAAAUUCAAGAUCUCUCCUACGGACAUCUGCAUAACUCUUCUGCCUACUUUGAGCAGUCUUGAGUCUAUCUCUAACCACUUUAAUCUUCUCAUUAGUAACAUGGAUUAACUCUGGGCCACAAAGCUCUUUUUCCCCCACUUCAUUCCAACACAAAGGCGUGCGACACUGCCUCCCAUAAAGAGCCUCAAAGGGAGCCAUACCAAUGCUAGAAUGAUAGCUAUUAUUAUAGGAAAAUUCCAUCAAAGAUAGGUUCUUAUCCCAACUCCCUCUGAACUGCAUGGCACAAGCCCUCAACAUAUCCUCCAAAGUCUGAAUAGUCCUCUCGGACUGCCCAUCAGUCUGAGGAUGAAAAGCAGUACUGAAGAGUAAUUGGGUACCUAAAGCUGCCUGAAGAGCUCCCUAGAAUUUAGAAGCAAAACGAGGAUCCCGAUCUGACACUAUUGAUUCAGAAACACCAUGAAGCCUCACAAUUUCGUUCACAUAAAGCUCCGCCAAUUUAUCCAAUUUAUACUUCUUUCCCACUGGCAAGAAAUGUGCAGACUUGGUGAGUCUAUCCACAAUCACCCGAAUACCGUCAUGNNNNNNNNNNNNNNNNNNNNCAACCAAAACCCCAUUUGAGUUAUGGAAGAAUAGAAAGCCUAGCAUUUAUCACACACAUGUUUGGGGUUGUAAGGCCGAAGCUAGGCCUUAUAAUCCAAACGAGAGCAAGCUAGAUCUUAAAACAGUGUCUGCAUCUUUUAUUGGCUACUGUGAGCAUUCCAAAGGCUACAAGUUCUACUGUCCCACACACUCCCACAGAAUCAUAGAGACAAACAAGGCAGUGUUCCUAAAUGAAACCAAUUAUUCUCAUUCUUUUGAGGAUUUCAUUUUUGAGGAGCUUACUGAAAAUGUUUCUAAUGCUGUCACUUCACCACAACCUCAACCUGUAAUUUUAGAAACCACACCAGUUGUUUUCAGUGGGAUUGAUGCACCUACCACUAUCCCAAAUCCUCCACCACCACCAGUUAUUAGAAGAUCACAGAGAGAAAGAAGAUCAAGACUUGAAGCAUUGUCUACUGAUUUUCAGGUGUAUGAUGUUGAGGUAGAUUAUGAUGCUGGUGAGAUUGAAGACCCCAAAACCUUCAAAGAAGCCAUUGCUGGAGAUCAUUCACAUGAGUGGGAGAAAGCUAUGAUUUCAGAAAUGAAAUCUAUGCAUGUGAAUGAUGUCUGGGAACUGGUUGAGCCUUCAAAGUCGCAGAAAGCAAUUGGCUGCAAGUGGGUGUACAAGACCAAGCUACAUGUAGAUGGAAGCAUAGAGAGGUACAAAGCAAGGCUAGUAGCAAAAGGUUAUACACAGAAAGAAGGUAUGGACUACACUGAGACAUUUUCUCCAGUCUCAACCAAAGAUGCUUUCAGAGCUAUCAUGGCUAUGGUUGCUCAUUAUGACAUGGAGCUGCACCAAAUGGAUGUAAAGACAGCUUUUCUGAAUGGAGAGUUGAGUGAAGAGAUCUUUAUGAAGCAGCCCGAGGGAUUUAUUGAACCUGGGAAGGAGCAUCUAGUUUGUAAGCCUAACAGGUCCAUAUAUGGAUUGAAACAAGCUUCAAGACAGUGGUAUUUGAAGUUUGAUUCAGUCAUCAGUGGUUUUGGAUUCAAGGAGAAUCAAGUUGAUGAGUGUGUUUACAUGAAAUCAGAAGGUAAAAAUUUUAUUUUCUUAAUUUUAUAUGUAGAUGACAUCUUAUUGGCUAGUACAAAUUUAGACCUGCUGAAAGAGACUAAGUCUUUCUUGUCAAAGAAAUUCGACAUGAAAGAUUUAGGUGAGGCUAAGUAUGUACUGGGGAUAGAGAUAAAGAGAGAUAGAUCGAGGUUCCUACUUGGUUUAUCACAGCAGAGCUACAUCAACACAGUUUUGAAGAGGUUUGAUAUGCAUAAUUGUGCAGCUGGUGCAAUUCCAAUGUCAAAAAGUGACAAGNNNNNNNNNNNNNNNNNNNNAUCACCUUCUCUGUCUCAUAUUAAGUCUCUCUUUGAGUGAACACAUACGAAGACUCUUGUGAUCGGUAAAUAUCUGACACUUGGCUCCAUAAAGAUAGUGUCUCCACAACUUGAGAGCAAAAACUACCGCUGUAAGCUCCAGAUCAUGAGUAGGAUAAUUCCCCUCAUGUGGCUUCAAUUGCCUAGAAGCGUAGGCAAUAACUCGAUCAUGCUGCAUCAAAACUCCACCUAGACCUCGUCUAGAAGCAUCACAAUAGACCACAUAUUCUCCACUAUCAUCCGGAAGUGCCAAAACAGGAGCACUUGUCAAGCAAUUCUUCAAUUCUUGAAAACUUUGCUCGCACUGAUCUGACCAUUCAAACUUAACCCCCUUCAUGGUCAACUUUGUGAGAGGAGCAGCAAUCUUACCUAGCUCAAGAGGGAGUGAGUCCUUUUAGGGCAAGGCUGCUGGGUUGGAGGGCUACAAAACCAUACCAAGUUUGCCUGGAUUGGUGGCCGGAGGAGGGAGUUCCAGCGAAAUGCUUCCCGGCGUUUCCGGCGGGUUUUCUCCUCUUCCGGCGGGUUAGAGGCUUGGGGGCUAGGGCGGGGAGGGAGAGGAGGAGAUGGGGGUCCGAACUGGGGUGGAGCGGCGGCCGGUGGUUGGCCGGACGGCGGCAGCUGGCGGCUGGACAGUCCGGCGGGGAGAGAGCACGAGAGAGAGAAGAAAGAGAAAAGAGAGAAGAAGAGAAAGGGAGGAAAAAAAAUGGGUUGGGCCUCCCAACCGGUCCAACCUUAUAUCAACCCAAUUCCAAAAAUGAAACACCCCGAAAAAUAAUACCCGAAUAAAAAUUACCUUUUACUAGCUAAAAUUUACUAUUUUUACCGUCGUCGUAUUUUCCUCAUACGAAUGAUCCUCCGCACAUAAUCGUCCCCGAAACCCCUCUAGGGACCAAUUAACUAUUAACUCAAUGACGGAGACAGUAAAAUUCUUAUUAUAAUCAGGCUAGUAAAUAAGGUAAAAAUAUAAGGGUCGGGAUGUGACAAGAGAAAUGAUUUUAUCCUCCCGAGUUAUUCAAAAGUAAAUAACUGUAAUAUUAAAGCUUACUUGCUAGUUUGCCAAAUAAACUGCGUUUAUAGGAGCUGCUUUGUAAUUUUUUCAAGCUUAAUUCCACGUGAGUGCGGCGAAGUUGCUCGCGUAAUUCCGUUGUAAUUCGUCGCGCAAUUAUGUCAUGAAAAACAAAAUAUAUGGUUAGCCAUAUUCACCAUAUAGAUAUAAACCAUAAAAACUUUCAAAAUUUGAACGAAAAAGCUAAAAAAUUAAGCUGAAGGAAGCCAAGAAUCAAUGGCAGACGGCAGCGGAAGAUUUGUUGCCGGAGGUUGUCGGACAACAGCGGUCGGGGAAGCAAGCGGACGGUGGCAGCGGUCGGACAGAUCGAGGAUCCGAGAGACUCUUUUGGCUUUUAGGGUUUCGAAAAAAUAAAAAACCAAUGGUGGGUUAUUAAUUCUAGGGUUUUGCUAUCAACUCAGGUUAGAGCAGAGUCCAUGAUAACGUGAUUAAGUAUAAACUGUAGAAAAUGAGCGAUAGAAAGAGAAUAUAGAAUCAUCAUUAUAUUCAUUGGUAGGAGCUCUUUAUAUAGUGAAUUACAAAAUAUCAAUAUGGUAAUGAUAAAGAAAUACAUAUUCAUAUUCUAACUACAUAUCAUGAUGACAUAAAGCCAAGAUACACAUAUGGAAUUUCUUAGAACAUAUAU